This 491-nucleotide unclassified non-coding RNA is filed under the name Hevea brasiliensis (rubber tree). Lineage: Eukaryota; Viridiplantae; Streptophyta; Magnoliopsida; Malpighiales; Euphorbiaceae. The record is from RNAcentral.
UUCAUUUCAAAUCACUUAUUGCGCCAAAACUGCAAUUGAACAAGUUGCAAAUUUCCCCAAAGUAUCAGACGGAAAACACCAUUAUACAAAAGCCGAAAUGAUAAGUUACAGAAAAAUUACUCAGAUUUGGCGUCGGACUCUGAAGCUCCGGCGGCAGCGGGUUGACCCGAUUCAUCACUGGCAAAGGACCACUCCGAUGGUAAGGGAGGUAACGGAGCAUAAACAGCUGGUCCACGUCGAAUAUCCCAAGCUUGAGUCUUCCGUGGACGUGUCUUCUUAUGGUGAGCUGUAGCCUUCUUCUGUGGCCUAGAUGAGCACUCAAUUACCAAUCCCCCAAUACUUGUGGGUGCCGACGCCAACCUGGUGGCUCCGCCGGUGAAUCCGGUCGCUGAAACAGUUGAGGAACGCGGCAACACCGCCAUCUGCAACCCGAAUAUGGCGGAGGCUGACAUUUUCUUUUUUCUUCUCUUCAAAGGUUUUUCCUUCUUCUG